CCUACGGGCGGCUGCAGUGGGGAAUAUUGGACAAUGGGCGAAAGCCUGAUCCAGCCAUGCCGCGUGUGUGAAGAAGGCCUUCGGGUUGUAAAGCACUUUCAGUGGGGAAGAAAGCCUUGGGGCUAAUACCCUCGAGGAAGGACAUCACCCACAGAAGAAGCACCGGCUAACUCCGUGCCAGCAGCCGCGGUAAUACGGAGGGUGCGAGCGUUAAUCGGAAUUACUGGGCGUAAAGCGCGCGUAGGCGGUCUGAUAAGCCGGUUGUGAAAGCCCCGGGCUCAACCUGGGAACGGCAUCCGGAACUGACAGGCUAGAGUGCAGGAGAGGAAGGUAGAAUUCCCGGUGUAGCGGUGAAAUGCGUAGAGAUCGGGAGGAAUACCAGUGGCGAAGGCGGCCUUCUGGACUGACACUGACGCUGAGGUGCGAAAGCGUGGGUAGCAAACAGGAUUAGAUACCCCAGUAGUC
This 465-nucleotide ribosomal RNA is filed under the name Vreelandella stevensii. Its description in RNAcentral is "partial 16S ribosomal RNA". It matches the Rfam family "Bacterial small subunit ribosomal RNA", at positions 338 to 795 of the family's 1533-position model. Lineage: Bacteria; Pseudomonadati; Pseudomonadota; Gammaproteobacteria; Oceanospirillales; Halomonadaceae. The record is from RNAcentral.